GAUGAACGCUAGCGGCAGGCCUAACACAUGCAAGUCGAGGGGCAUCGCGGUGCAGCAAUGCACUGGCGGCGACCGGCGUACGGGUGCGUAACGCGUAUGCAACCUGCCCCGCACCGGGGGAUAGCCCGCCGAAAGGCGGAUUAAUACCCCAUGGUCCCGGGGGCCCGCAUGGGCAUCCGGGUAAAGCCUUGGCGGUGCGGGAUGGGCAUGCGUGCCAUUAGCUGGCUGGUGGGGUAACGGCCCACCAGGGCAACGAUGGCUAGGGGGUCUGAGAGGACGAUCCCCCACACUGGUACUGAGACACGGACCAGACUCCUACGGGAGGCAGCAGUGAGGAAUAUUGGUCAAUGGGCGGAAGCCUGAACCAGCCAUGCCGCGUGCAGGAUGACGGCCCCUGGGUCGGUUAACGUAGUCGUUUCCCCGGGUUCCCGGGAACUAACCCCUACCCGCGCGGGGAAGGGUGCGGUACCGGGGAACGGAAGGUAAGUCGGUCGUAACUACCGUCGCCGACGCACGCCGCCGGUAACCGUAACGUCGUACGUACGUCGUA
Molecule: ribosomal RNA, 550 nt
Filed under: uncultured bacterium
Lineage: Bacteria
Description: bacterial SSU rRNA
Rfam family: Bacterial small subunit ribosomal RNA (bases 12-377)
Source: RNAcentral